AUAUUGUAUAAUUCUGUUUACACUCAUGUGGUGCAUAACAACCAGUCAACGAUGAACUGCAUAUAGAUAAUGGUCUCAUAAGAUUAUAAUGGAACAGCUGGGUGUGGUGGCUCAUGCCUAUAAUCCCAGCACUUUGGGAGGCCAAAGCGAGUGGAUAGCUUGAGAUUUUUGGAAUGUUUGAAGACAAACAUUGCCGUGGAGAUCACCUGGUAGCUUUCUGAGCAGGAGGCUGUGGACUGAGGGGAGCCAUCCACUCUGCCGAGAGCUUGAGAAAAUGAAGACUGAAAACAGAGCACUGGAGGUCGUUCAUACGCAAAAAUGCUUUCCCCUCGGAAUUGUCUCCAGCUCCUUCACCUCUUGGUUGUAGGUACAGACAGCAGAGACAAGAAGAGCCUUGAAGAGGCAGCCACACAUUGUGGUGAGGAGCACACAGCCUCUUGCUAGGAUAGGAAUAUGCUACCUAUGCUUUGGUUCCCAAUAUCCUUGCCAAUAAAACCUUUGUCUCUGAUCCUCUUAGCUGUAACAGCAUGCUGGACUAAUAGGUUCAGGGAGUAGUCUGCUGUGACAAAUACUUGUUGCGCACCUACUAUGUGCCAGGGUGUAUUCCAGAUGCUGUGGAUUUGUGAUCUGGUUUGAUAAUAAAUUUUAUUUUAAUGAAUUGUAUUUUUAAAAUUGUAUAUAUCUGAGGUGUACAGGAUAUUUUGAUAUACUUAUCUUACUACACAUAGACAUAGUGAACUAAUUACUACAGUUAAG
This 756-nucleotide long non-coding RNA is filed under the name Homo sapiens (human). Its description in RNAcentral is "HSALNT0353822". The record is from RNAcentral. Lineage: Eukaryota; Metazoa; Chordata; Mammalia; Primates; Hominidae.